AAUGUUGUGAGGCUUUAUGUCAAAAUGUACAAUCCUUGUAUUACACCCUCGGUGCAAGUACUCUAAUCCUCGAGCAAUACCGACUGCAAUUUGGUGUAUUGUUUCCCAACCCAAUUGACGAUCAGCCUUCAAGGGAUUUUCUUUGUAUAUGUACUUCUCUAGAGAUCCAUUAAUCAUGAAUUCAUAGAUUAAUGCUCGUUUGGAACCCUCAAAACAAAAUCCUAAAAGAGCAACAAUGUUGACAUGGGAAGUCCUACUAAUGCUUGCAACCUCAUUUAUAAAUUCUUCUCCAUUGCUUUUCGAUUCCUUCAAC
RNAcentral lists this unclassified non-coding RNA (313 nucleotides) under Hevea brasiliensis (rubber tree). The record is from RNAcentral. Lineage: Eukaryota; Viridiplantae; Streptophyta; Magnoliopsida; Malpighiales; Euphorbiaceae.